Molecule: ribosomal RNA, 446 nt
Filed under: uncultured bacterium
Lineage: Bacteria
Description: partial 16S ribosomal RNA
Rfam family: Bacterial small subunit ribosomal RNA
Source: RNAcentral
CCUACGGGCGGCAGCAGUCGAGAAUCAUUCACAAUGGGGGAAACCCUGAUGGUGCGACGCCGCGUGGGGGAAUGAAGGUCUUCGUAUUGUAAACCCCUGUCAUGUGGGAGCAAAUUAAAAAGAUAGUACCACAAGAGGAAGAGACGGCUAACUCUGUGCCAGCAGCAGCAGUAAUACAGAGGGCUCAAGCGGUGUUCGGGAUCACUGGGCGUAGAGCGUGCGUAGGCUGUUUCGUAAGUCGGGUGGGAAAGUCGCGGGCUCAACCCGCGGACGGCACAUGAUACUGGGAGACUAGAGUAAUGGAGGGGGAACCGGAAUUCUCGGUGGAGCAGUGAAAUGCGUAGAUAUCGAGAGGAACACUCGUGGCGAAGGCGGGUUCCUGGACAUUAACUGACGCUGAGGCACGAAGGCCAGGGGAGCGAAAGGGAUUAGAUACCCCAGUAGUC